CUGACUUUCCCCAAGGGCCUCCUGCACCUGCCUCCGACGGUCACAGAUCUGGUUCCCCUCCCUUGUGGUGACGGGCACAACCCCGUGCUCCUAGUGUGCCGGCAGGUCAACAGAGCCUGUUUCUGCGUGAGAGCAUGAUUUUGCAGGUCUUGGGUCACUGGCAUUUUGGCUUCUUCUGUCCAGGAUUCAUCACAACACCUUGAAGCAGGGGGUAGGCCAAACCCGGCCCGCCACAGGCUUUCCUACAGCCCAUGAGCCAACUGGACAGUAUGGGAAGCCAAACCCUUGACCUUCCAUGCC
Cynocephalus volans (Philippine flying lemur) is the source of this 300-nucleotide long non-coding RNA. RefSeq lists it as uncharacterized. The transcript is spliced from 3 exons. The record is from RefSeq and is a predicted model, not a curated record. Lineage: Eukaryota; Metazoa; Chordata; Mammalia; Dermoptera; Cynocephalidae.